CGGGAGAGCUCAAAUUUGAAAUCUGGCAGUCUUCGAUUGUCCGAGUUGUAAUCUAUAGAGGCGUUUUCCGUGCCGGACCGUGUCCAAGUCUCCUGGAAAGGAGUAUCAAAGAGGGUGAUAAUCCCGUACUUAACACGACCACCGGUGCUCUGUGAUACGUCUUCUACGAGUCGAGUUGUUUGGGAAUGCAGCUCAAAAUGGGUGGUGAAUUCCAUCUAAAGCUAAAUAUUGGCGAGAGACCGAUAGCGAACAAGUACCGUGAGGGAAAGAUGAAAAGCACUUUGGAAAGAGAGUUAAACAGUACGUGAAAUUGUUGAAAGGGAAACGAUUGAAGUCAGUCGUGUUCUUUGGAUUCAGCCAGUUCUGCUGGUCUACUUCCUUUGAACGGGUCAACAUCAGUUUUGUCCGGUGGAUAAAGGCAGUAGGAAUGUAGCUUCUCCGGAAGUGUUAUAGCCUAUUGUCACAUACACUGGGUGAGACUGAGGACUGCAGCUCGCCUUUAUGGCCGACCUUCGGGUACGUUCGAGCUUAGGAUGUUGACAUAAUGGCUUUAAACGACUCGUCUUGAA
Molecule: ribosomal RNA, 569 nt
Filed under: Trichosporon coremiiforme
Lineage: Eukaryota; Fungi; Basidiomycota; Tremellomycetes; Trichosporonales; Trichosporonaceae
Description: eukaryotic LSU rRNA
Rfam family: Eukaryotic large subunit ribosomal RNA
Source: RNAcentral